RNAcentral lists this ribosomal RNA (525 nucleotides) under uncultured bacterium. RNAcentral describes it as "bacterial SSU rRNA". It matches the Rfam family "Bacterial small subunit ribosomal RNA", at positions 8 to 526 of the family's 1533-position model. The record is from RNAcentral.
AGAGUUUGAUCAUGGCUCAGAUUGAACGCUGGCGGCAUGCCUUACACAUGCAAGUCGAGCGGCAGCGCGGGGGCAACCCUGGCGGCGAGCGGCGCACGGGUGAGUAAUGCAUCGGAACGUGUCCUCUUGUGGGGGAUAACCAGUCGAAAGACUGGCUAAUACCGCAUGAGAUCGAGAGAUGAAAGCAGGGGACCCGCAAGGGCCUUGCGCGAGAGGAGCGGCCGAUGCCCGAUUAGCUAGUUGGUGGGGUAAAAGCCCACCAAGGCGACGAUCGGUAGCUGGUUUGAGAGAACGACCAGCCACACUGGGACUGAGACACGGCCCAGACUCCUACGGGAGGCAGCAGUGGGGAAUUUUGGACAAUGGGGGCAACCCUGAUCCAGCCAUGCCGCGUGUGUGAAGAAGGCCUUCGGGUUGUAAAGCACUUUCGGCCGGAACGAAAUCGCGCGGGUGAAUAUCCCGCGUGGAUGACGGUACCGGAAGAAGAAGCACCGGCUAACUACGUGCCAGCAGCCGCGGUAAUUC